RNAcentral lists this ribosomal RNA (1687 nucleotides) under Escherichia coli. RNAcentral describes it as "bacterial LSU rRNA". It matches the Rfam family "Bacterial large subunit ribosomal RNA", at positions 1252 to 2819 of the family's 2925-position model. The record is from RNAcentral. Lineage: Bacteria; Pseudomonadati; Pseudomonadota; Gammaproteobacteria; Enterobacterales; Enterobacteriaceae.
GAAGGUGUGCUGUGAGGCAUGCUGGAGGUAUCAGAAGUGCGAAUGCUGACAUAAGUAACGAUAAAGCGGGUGAAAAGCCCGCUCGCCGGAAGACCAAGGGUUCCUGUCCAACGUUAAUCGGGGCAGGGUGAGUCGACCCCUAAGGCGAGGCCGAAAGGCGUAGUCGAUGGGAAACAGGUUAAUAUUCCUGUACUUGGUGUUACUGCGAAGGGGGGACGGAGAAGGCUAUGUUGGCCGGGCGACGGUUGUCCCGGUUUAAGCGUGUAGGCUGGUUUUCCAGGCAAAUCCGGAAAAUCAAGGCUGAGGCGUGAUGACGAGGCACUACGGUGCUGAAGCAACAAAUGCCCUGCUUCCAGGAAAAGCCUCUAAGCAUCAGGUAACAUCAAAUCGUACCCCAAACCGACACAGGUGGUCAGGUAGAGAAUACCAAGGCGCUUGAGAGAACUCGGGUGAAGGAACUAGGCAAAAUGGUGCCGUAACUUCGGGAGAAGGCACGCUGAUAUGUAGGUGAAGUCCCUCGCGGAUGGAGCUGAAAUCAGUCGAAGAUACCAGCUGGCUGCAACUGUUUAUUAAAAACACAGCACUGUGCAAACACGAAAGUGGACGUAUACGGUGUGACGCCUGCCCGGUGCCGGAAGGUUAAUUGAUGGGGUUAGCCGCAAGGCGAAGCUCUUGAUCGAAGCCCCGGUAAACGGCGGCCGUAACUAUAACGGUCCUAAGGUAGCGAAAUUCCUUGUCGGGUAAGUUCCGACCUGCACGAANGCAAGCGAAGCUCUUGAUCGAAGCCCCGGUAAACGGCGGCCGUAACUAUAACGGUCCUAAGGUAGCGAAAUUCCUUGUCGGGUAAGUUCCGACCUGCACGAAUGGCGUAAUGAUGGCCAGGCUGUCUCCACCCGAGACUCAGUGAAAUUGAACUCGCUGUGAAGAUGCAGUGUACCCGCGGCAAGACGGAAAGACCCCGUGAACCUUUACUAUAGCUUGACACUGAACAUUGAGCCUUGAUGUGUAGGAUAGGUGGGAGGCUUAGAAGUGUGGACGCCAGUCUGCAUGGAGCCGACCUUGAAAUACCACCCUUUAAUGUUUGAUGUUCUAACGUUGACCCGUAAUCCGGGUUGCGGACAGUGUCUGGUGGGUAGUUUGACUGGGGCGGUCUCCUCCUAAAGAGUAACGGAGGAGCACGAAGGUUGGCUAAUCCUGGUCGGACAUCAGGAGGUUAGUGCAAUGGCAUAAGCCAGCUUGACUGCGAGCGUGACGGCGCGAGCAGGUGCGAAAGCAGGUCAUAGUGAUCCGGUGGUUCUGAAUGGAAGGGCCAUCGCUCAACGGAUAAAAGGUACUCCGGGGAUAACAGGCUGAUACCGCCCAAGAGUUCAUAUCGACGGCGGUGUUUGGCACCUCGAUGUCGGCUCAUCACAUCCUGGGGCUGAAGUAGGUCCCAAGGGUAUGGCUGUUCGCCAUUUAAAGUGGUACGCGAGCUGGGUUUAGAACGUCGUGAGACAGUUCGGUCCCUAUCUGCCGUGGGCGCUGGAGAACUGAGGGGGGCUGCUCCUAGUACGAGAGGACCGGAGUGGACGCAUCACUGGUGUUCGGGUUGUCAUGCCAAUGGCACUGCCCGGUAGCUAAAUGCGGAAGAGAUAAGUGCUGAAAGCAUCUAAGCACGAAACUUGCCCCGAGAUGAGUUCUCCCUGAC